GAUUUUUAGACUAUGGCAGACUCGAGACAGGGAUACAUAAUGUAGUUAGUGUCGGUUAGAACCAGCCGCCCACCCGGGUAGCCCAGUUGGUUAGAGCGCCAUGCUAGUGUUCCGGCGGUCGUGGGUUCGAGCCCCACACCGGGCGCACUUUUCCUCCCAGGAGAUAAACAGAAACACAGAGGUGCUAUACUUUCUGAUGGAAAAGACAACAAAAGCAUCUCCCAUCAUUUUGGCGUGGCUCAGAUCAAGAGGAGAAAUUUAAAAAAGGUGAUGGUUGGGCACAAACAAGAAGACAUAGAUCACAGGCGUAUAGCAUAUGAGUAGACAGGAGUUUCACACUCUGCCAGACUUACUUCCUCAGACGAGCAGAUUUAGGCUUCUCAAGAUCACGCACUGCACACUAAGACAUAGUCUUUGACUACAACAAGGUCUUAGGGGAUGAAAGUACAGAGAGGUCCAAUUGAAAUCAAUUCUGUGCUGCGUCAUUUCUUUAUUCUAGAGGUUGAUGGACAUGAUUUAUGGCAUCAAGUGUGCAGUUUGUCAACUAACUAUCAACACAGCAGUCUUGUUCACCAGCUGCUCAACUUGAGCUUUUAGCUUUAUUGCUU
Mya arenaria is the source of this 608-nucleotide long non-coding RNA. RefSeq lists it as uncharacterized. Lineage: Eukaryota; Metazoa; Mollusca; Bivalvia; Myida; Myidae. The record is from RefSeq and is a predicted model, not a curated record. The transcript is spliced from 3 exons.